CCAUCCACGUGUGUGCAAGAWGGCUUAGGCUGUAAAGCACUUUCAGUUGUGAGGAAGUAUGUAGUGUAAUAACUGCUAKRUGUGACGUUAGCGAMGAGAAGAAGCACCGGCUWACUCCGUGCCAGCAGCCGCGGUAAUACGGAGGGUCCGAGCGUUAAUCGGAAUUACURGGCGUAAAGCGCGCGYAGGYDGGUMUGUUAAGUUAGAUGUGAAAGCCGCUGACGCUCAACGUUGGAASUYYAUCUARUACUAGCUAGACUAGAAGUAUUAGUAGAGGGKAGUGGAAUUUCAURGUGUAGCAGGUGAAAUGCGUAGAGAUAUGGAAGGAACAUCAAGUGRCGAAGGCRACUACCUGRCAUARUACUGACGACUCAUGUCGAAAGCGUCGGUAGCRAACAGGAUACGAUACCUGGUAGUCCACACCGUAAACGAUGUCCCUAGCYGUUGUAGACCUAAUCCCUGAGUACU
This 468-nucleotide ribosomal RNA is filed under the name uncultured Gammaproteobacteria bacterium. RNAcentral describes it as "partial 16S ribosomal RNA". It matches the Rfam family "Bacterial small subunit ribosomal RNA", at positions 392 to 847 of the family's 1533-position model. The record is from RNAcentral. Lineage: Bacteria; Pseudomonadati; Pseudomonadota; Gammaproteobacteria.